CAGCAGCCGCGGUAAUACGGAGGAUCCAAGCGUUAUCCGGAAUCAUUGGGUUUAAAGGGUCCGUAGGCGGUCUUGUAAGUCAGUGGUGAAAGCCCAUCGCUCAACGGUGGAACGGCCAUUGAUACUGCAGGACUUGAAUUAUUGGGAAGUAACUAGAAUAUGUAGUGUAGCGGUGAAAUGAUUAGAGAUUACAUGGAAUACCAAUUGCGAAGGCAGGUUACUACCAAUUGAUUGACGCUGAUGGACGAAAGCGUGGGUAGCGAACAGGAUUAGAUACCCGGGUAGUCCCUGUCUCUUAUAC
Molecule: ribosomal RNA, 301 nt
Filed under: uncultured bacterium
Lineage: Bacteria
Description: partial 16S ribosomal RNA
Rfam family: Bacterial small subunit ribosomal RNA
Source: RNAcentral